UACCAGUGUUGCGACGAAACGUUUGCCCCGCGGUACACGAAACGUGUACACCAUAGUGGAAUAAUCAGACGGCCGGACGAUAUUAAUUUUUCAACAAUUAUUAUUGCCGUUUACGCGCGCUGUUGGUAAUACGCACUCGAUGUGUGAUAAAAUAUCAGCGAUAGCGCAGACUGUUAUCCACGGUAGUACGGUUAUCUUGCCAUUUACAAUGUUUACAUCCUAAUCGCUAUUUAAUUAUUAUUGUUAGUUAGAUUUGUCAUUCCGGAAAUGUAAUUGAUCCGUUUAUUACGCAUUUUCGGCUUUCGCAUUAGUCUGGUUGUUUUGUACGGCGGUGAACUAAUGACCGGGCGCGAGACGACUACGGGGCCGACCGCGCGUUUAGACGUUAAUAAUAUUUCUGGCGUCUGAAUGUCUCGUGGUGUCGAGUGUAUUCUUCGGGCAACACGCGCAUACGGACACACGUGUUUAAUAUUUCCGAUACGUGGAUUUUUUCAAUUCGACGUUCUCGUCCACCAUACUAUUAUACUACCAUUUUGAUUGUUAUUGAAUGUAAAAUCGAGAAAAAACAAUCCACAAUAUCUAGCGCGUAUGGUCCAUUUCCAAACGCUCCUCACACGUGUUUCAAACAGUUUCUGUAAAAACGCGUACAAUAACGUUAAUAAACUAAUGAGUACUCGAGUAUAAUAGUGAGUAGAAAAACGUGUUAUUAUAAUAUCCGUGCUCGUUUUACACAUUUUGGAAACUGACCUAUAAUUCUGCAAAUUGCGCAUCUAUUCUAUAUUACAUUGAUAUAGAUACCUACAUAUUGGAAAUAUUGUGUAUUGACUUGGGUACUUUUGUGCUAUUCAUUUUUAUUUGUAUAAUUUCGUCCAUUAAAUUAGUUAAUAUCAUUUUUCCUAGUGCGAAGAAUUUUUAAUCUCGAGACACGAAUGGGCGAUUUUAAAAACGAAAUUAAUGCUACGUCUGUCGUUAUUGCGCACGUGGAAUAAAACCAUUAUUUUCGAAAAAUCAAGUCUAUCGUUGACAAUCGGUCGUGUGUGUACUUUGUAGUGUGACGUGGUCAGAGCAUAAUACAUGUCCUCCAGGGGCGUGUUUUCAUUACGAUUUUUAACAUGAGUAAACUGUUACAUGCUAUUUUAGUUGGUCCUAUUCAGAAAUCGAUAUCGUGCCCGAAAGCGAGUUAUAUAAUAAUGAUAAUCUAGUGUACAGUAUAAUAGGUACAAAGAAUUAAAAUAAUUUACAAACAUUUAAUGUUAAAAAGGUACCUUAGUUAAAUAAGAUUACCUACCUAGGUAAUACCUGUCUAUGGCCAUCAAUGGGCCCAGGCAGGAUUUUAUUUGGUGGCCCAACCCAUUCGCGCAUUAUUGAUUUUAUUAUUCAUAUUUGUGUUAAGUUGACAUAUUAAGUCAUCAGGUAUAGUUCACUAAAUAUUUUUAAAUUCGUAUAAGUUCUAUAUUAUUAAAUUUGUAUGUCAUUAAUUUUUACACAAAGGCAUUACAAAUACAAAAGUUUCAAUCCGUAUUAUAGAUGAGAAAUAAUUACCUACCAAGAAAGUUAAUAGACAAAAUAAACCUAUGAUUAUUGUGUUUUGAUUUUGAUAUUAUCCACGAUAUAUUUUGCGCACUACAAAAAAUAAAUAUUUGCACCUGCCAUCUGCGUUUUUAAUCCAGGCAAACUGUAAGGUUCCAUAAAUGUAAGAUUGAAAAGCAUUUUGAUUCUGGUUUAAUUAGGUAUUGCUUUUUUUUUUUGUGUGUGUGUCUAAUCAACUUUUCUAACAGAAUUAUUACUUCAAUUAAAAAUUGUGUAAGACAUUUCUUGUUGAAUUUUUGAUCAUUGUGGUGAUUUUUUGAUUUUCCUUCUAGUUUUUUUAAUAAAUCUGGACAAAUUGGCAAUUGUUGAUUUAUGAGUUAC
Non-coding RNA from Cinara cedri, 1911 nucleotides. The record is from the annotation of a GenBank genome assembly. Lineage: Eukaryota; Metazoa; Arthropoda; Insecta; Hemiptera; Aphididae.